ACAGAGGGUGCAAGCGUUGUUCGGAAUUAUUGGGCGUAAAGGGCGCGUAGGCGGUGCGGUAAGUCACCUGUGAAAUCUCCGGGCUUAACUCGGAGCCUGCAGGCGAAACUACCGUGCUGGAGUAUGGGAGAGGUGCGUGGAAUUCCCGGUGUAGCGGUGAAAUGCGUAGAUAUCGGAAGGAACACCAGUGGCGAAAGCGGCUUCCUGGUCCAGCACCGACGUUCAGGCACGAAAGCGUGGGGAGCAAACAGGA
Molecule: ribosomal RNA, 253 nt
Filed under: uncultured prokaryote
Description: partial 16S ribosomal RNA
Rfam family: Bacterial small subunit ribosomal RNA
Source: RNAcentral